GUUCUGGAAACAGGAAAAGGACCCAUCUUAUUCCAAAAGCUGGACUGGCAUUCUAGCUCAUCCUGGGUCUUUCUUUGUCUGGUUGGCUGCAUUUGGAAGGACCUUGCUGAACUUGACCUCUGGUUAUGCUCUGAAACUGUUCUCUUAAAAAGCUACCAUGGAGUGGUCCUGCCAGCCCUGGCAAUGUCUCACCACCUGUGCAUCAGUGCCA
This 211-nucleotide long non-coding RNA is filed under the name Homo sapiens (human). Its description in RNAcentral is "non-protein coding lnc-NDFIP2-7:15". The record is from RNAcentral. Lineage: Eukaryota; Metazoa; Chordata; Mammalia; Primates; Hominidae.